This 234-nucleotide ribosomal RNA is filed under the name uncultured bacterium. RNAcentral's name for it is "partial 16S ribosomal RNA". It matches the Rfam family "Bacterial small subunit ribosomal RNA", at positions 15 to 231 of the family's 1533-position model. The record is from RNAcentral.
GAUCAUGGCUCAGGAUGAACGCUGGCGGCGUGCUUAACACAUGCAAGUCGAGCGAAGCGAUUUAAGUGAAGUUUUCGGAUGGAUCUUAGAUUGACUGAGCGGCGGACGGGUGAGUAACGCGUAUCCAACCUGCCCAUCACUUGGGAAUAACCUUGCGAAAGUAAGACUAAUGCCCAAUGACAUCCCACGAAGGCAUCCGAAUGGGAUUAAAGAUUUAUCGGUGAUGGAUGGGGA